AUCACCUGGGGAUCUUUUUAAAAUGCAGAUUCAGAUUCAGUAACAAUGAAGUGGUGCCUUGAUUCUGCCUUCCUAACAAGGUCCCAGGUGAUGUUAA
This 97-nucleotide microRNA precursor is filed under the name Equus asinus (donkey). RNAcentral's name for it is "mir-544 microRNA precursor family". It matches the Rfam family "mir-544 microRNA precursor family". Lineage: Eukaryota; Metazoa; Chordata; Mammalia; Perissodactyla; Equidae. The record is from Rfam by way of RNAcentral. RNAcentral also lists the same sequence under 1 other name.